Molecule: long non-coding RNA, 2264 nt
Filed under: Sus scrofa (pig)
Lineage: Eukaryota; Metazoa; Chordata; Mammalia; Artiodactyla; Suidae
Description: lncRNA (ENSSSCG00015065830.1)
Source: RNAcentral
CUGUACCCACGGCAUAUGGAUGUUCCCUGGCCAGGGACUGAACCUGAGCCACAGCUGCGGCAAUGCCAGAUCCUUACCCCACUGAGCCAGGCCAGGGAUCGAACCGGCACCUCCAGAGACAAGCUGGAACAUUAACCCAUGACGCCACAGCGGGAACGCCCACAUAUUUCAAUGACUUAGGGGAGUCUGCCCUGCCACCUUCUAUUGGAUGUGAGCUCCAAGUGCCAAACACAAGCCUACCUGCGGAGACAAUGUGAGUGACGACUCCUGCGAAUCGGGUCUACAGGUUAUCCCGUCACACUCAGUCUCACUGGCACGACCCAAAGACGUUAAGGUAAUGAUUUCUAUGAAUACAGAUGCUCAAACAUCUUACAAGUGUUUUGUCUCUCUUCAUAACAAAUCAACAAGGCAAAAAAAGGUAUCCCCACUACAAAAAAAAAAAAAAAUCAGUGGAAAAAGUGACAUGCCCAGAGAUGAUCAAAUUUAACUAAGAGCCAGAUAUAGGGCGUUACUUACUUAUUAAUCCAUAACAGUCCAACCCAAACGCCAAAUGCGCCUUGUAUCUCUAACUGCAUCUUUGAUAGGGUUUUUGACUCCCUAAGACUUGAGAAGAUUAAACCCCUACCCAAAACUCACCAGGAAUCCUGCCUCUCUCCGGAUUACAACCUGGACCGAGAAGCGAGCAACAUGUUUCUUUCUUGCCCCUGGGACACCCCAGCCACGAAGCUCAGGCUCUCAGAUGAACGGCCCGUUACUCUUAGCCUCACGUGCAGAGCCCGCUCCUUCUUAACACGCUUGACGAUCUGGUUCUGCCGCUCAUGGUGUAUGAGAAGCAACGAAGCACAAAGAAAGCACGUCGGUAGCGACAGGGAGAAAGAGAAGCAAAAACAAAACCAGAAGAGCAAACACGGGGGUUGGGAAAGAGCUAAACGUGGCCCGUGUACUGGUGCCGCACACGUCCCAGCGGACACGCUUCACGCCAAGCCCGGCGUUCGCCCUGAGGAUCCAGCCCGACUCGGUUCGCGUUUCACGUGUUCUCAAGGAAGAACCAGAAACAGGUACAUGCCUUUGUGGAUUUCCACCCAAAAUGGGGAAGCAAAGCCUUGGUGCUCAUUAAGGGAGAAAAUGAACAUGUGUACAAAGACCCAAGUGUUUCACAACAAGCCUUAAAUGUAUCAUCAGGUUUCUCCUGCCAAAGCAGAACGUGGGUUUUCUACAGUCCGAGACGUACAAUGGAAAACUUAAGGAAGAGAGAGAGAAAGAUCAACUCCACUUAAUUCCUCAUUUUCCUGGGAGUCGUUCAGCCUUACGGGUGAUGAAUGGCUCGCUGUAAACCGGUUUAGUUGCUCUCCUGGCUGCCAAAGCACAGCUAAGAAGCCAGCAGGUACAACAGGGAAGCUGUCAAGUCAAGCUGGCUCAAAACAAAGUUGUGGUUUGCAGGCGGGGCCUGAACCAUCUCUUCCGUUCAUAUAAGCUGGCAGGAUGUAGAAACAGGAUCCCGACCUAGCCACCGCUUCAGAGAACCAAAAUAUUUUGCUUUGACUUUCUAGCCUAUUAAGCUUGGGGUUUGGCAGGAUCUGUGUCCACAGUGAACGCAAGACCUUGUAAUGGUCCUCUUGAGGAAAUGAGAACACAAACAAAGCUGCCCUGAGUCUGGAAAGAAAGCAGUGUCUGGAGGGGUGUGAGGGACAGGCAGAGACGUGGGGCUGGCAAUCAGGACAGCCAGAGAGAUGGGGACAGCUAAUAUUUCUAAGUGUUUUCCACAUGCCACAUGAGCGCGUACGUAAUCUGCAGUAAUCUUGCUUAAUCCUCCCAACAAACGAACGGUAGGUGCAAGCAUUAUGCCCAUUUUACAGAUGAGAAAAGGGACGCGUUAGAGAGGUUAAGCAUUUGCCCAAGACACUCAAGCUGUCGGGAAUAAAAUCCUGGCGAACCAGCUCCAGAACUGACACCUAAAGCCACCGCGCUCUGACACCUCUCGCGGCCCACUGCCUGGUAAAGGAGCAGCACGCUGUAAUCCCAGCAUUACCGAGUAUAAAGCCUAAGAGUUACCUGUCAACCAUGAGAACCAGGCAGAACUCGGGGGACACCAAGUUUAGACAGAGGAGUAGCUCAUGAGUCACGAGACAAAUCCCGGCUCCACCUACCUCUAAACAGGGGAGCCCUGCAAGAGGCCUUCACUCCCCUGGGCCUCCAACUCCCUUCCUGGGAAGUGGGUGGUUGCUGUGUCCACAGCAAACUCUCGGUCAAGUUCACCUCGCCCA